This 456-nucleotide ribosomal RNA is filed under the name uncultured bacterium. Its description in RNAcentral is "bacterial SSU rRNA". It matches the Rfam family "Bacterial small subunit ribosomal RNA", at positions 340 to 786 of the family's 1533-position model. The record is from RNAcentral.
UACGGAAGGCAGCAGUGGGGAAUAUUGCACAAUGGGCGAAAGCCUGAUGCAGCUAUGCCGCGUGUAUGAAGAAGGCCUUAGGGUUGUAAAGUACUUUCAUCGGGGAGGAAAAAACAAAACUAAUAAUUUUAUUCUUGACGUUACCCGAAAAAGAAGCACCGGCUAACUCCGUGCCAGCAGCCGCGGUAAUACGGAGGGUGCUAGCGUUAAUCAGAAUUACUGGGCGUAAGAGCACGUAGGUGGUUUUUUAAGUUCAGAUGUGAAAUCCCUCGGGCGUUAACCUAGGAACUGCAUUUUGAAACUGAAAUACUAGAGUAUCGUAGAGGGAGGUAGAAUUCUAGGUGUAGCGGUGAAAUGCGUAGAUAUCUGGAGGAAUACCUGUGGCGAAAGCGGCCUCCUAAACGAAUACUGACACUGAGGUGCGAAAGCGUGGGGAGCAAACAGGGAUUAGAUACC